CUGGAGGUAUCAGAAGUGCGAAUGCUGACAUAAGUAACGAUAAAGCGGGUGAAAAGCCCGCUCGCCGGAAGACCAAGGGUUCCUGUCCAACGUUAAUCGGGGCAGGGUGAGUCGACCCCUAAGGCGAGGCCGAAAGGCGUAGUCGAUGGGAAACAGGUUAAUAUUCCUGUACUUGGUGUUACUGCGAAGGGGGGACGGAGAAGGCUAUGUUGGCCGGGCGACGGUUGUCCCGGUUUAAGCGUGUAGGCUGGUUUUCCAGGCAAAUCCGGA
This 270-nucleotide ribosomal RNA is filed under the name Escherichia coli. Its description in RNAcentral is "partial 23S ribosomal RNA". It matches the Rfam family "Bacterial large subunit ribosomal RNA", at positions 1273 to 1546 of the family's 2925-position model. Lineage: Bacteria; Pseudomonadati; Pseudomonadota; Gammaproteobacteria; Enterobacterales; Enterobacteriaceae. The record is from RNAcentral.